AGAACGAACGCUGGCGGCAUGCCUAACACAUGCAAGUCGAACGAGACCUUCGGGUCUAGUGGCGCACGGGUGCGUAACGCGUGGGAAUCUGCCCUUAGGUUCGGAAUAACAGUUAGAAAUGACUGCUAAUACCGGAUAAUGACGUAAGUCCAAAGAUUUAUCGCCCAGGGAUGAGCCCGCGUAGGAUUAGCUUGUUGGUGAGGUAAGAGCUCACCAAGGCGACGAUCCUUAGCUGGUCUGAGAGGAUGAUCAGCCACACUGGGACUGAGACACGGCCCAGACUCCUACGGGAGGCAGCAGUGGGGAAUAUUGGACAAUGGGCGAAAGCCUGAUCCAGCAAUGCCGCGUGAGUGAUGAAGGCCUUAGGGUUGUAAAGCUCUUUUACCCGGGAAGAUAAUGACUGUACCGGGAGAAUAAGCCCCGGCUAACUCCGUGCCAGCAGCCGC
RNAcentral lists this ribosomal RNA (446 nucleotides) under uncultured bacterium. RNAcentral describes it as "SSU rRNA". It matches the Rfam family "Bacterial small subunit ribosomal RNA", at positions 26 to 518 of the family's 1533-position model. The record is from RNAcentral.